UUCGGACCUCCAAUCAAGCAAGAGGACCCGCUGAAUUUAAGCAUAUAACUAA
RNAcentral lists this ribosomal RNA (52 nucleotides) under Chorda asiatica. Its description in RNAcentral is "partial 28S ribosomal RNA". Lineage: Eukaryota; Phaeophyceae; Laminariales; Chordaceae. The record is from RNAcentral.